Molecule: ribosomal RNA, 451 nt
Filed under: uncultured bacterium
Lineage: Bacteria
Description: bacterial SSU rRNA
Rfam family: Bacterial small subunit ribosomal RNA
Source: RNAcentral
GACGAACGCUGGCGGCGCGCCUAACACAUGCAAGUCGAACGGAGCUUAGAGAGCUUGCUUUUUAAGCUUAGUGGCGAACGGGUGAGUAACGCGUGAGUAACCUGCCCUAGAGUGGGGGACAACAGUUGGAAACGACUGCUAAUACCGCAUAAGCCCACGGUACCGCAUGGCACUGAGGGAAAAGGAUUUAUUCGCUUUAGGAUGGACUCGCGUCCAAUUAGCUAGUUGGUGAGGUAACGGCCCACCAAGGCGACGAUUGGUAGCCGGACUGAGAGGUUGAACGGCCACAUUGGGACUGAGACACGGCCCAGACUCCUACGGGAGGCAGCAGUGGGGGAUAUUGCACAAUGGGGGAAACCCUGAUGCAGCGACGCCGCGUGGAGGAAGAAGGUUUUCGGAUUGUAAACUCCUGUCGUUAGGGACGAUAAUGACGGUACCUAACAAGAAAGCA